GGAUCUGACGCUAUCUCCAGGUACAGUGUUGGAAUGGUGUUGGAGGACAGCCAGCUGGUGUGUGUGUGUGUGUGUGUGUGUGUGUGUGUGUGUAGGUGUCUCGGGGCUGAGCGCUCACGCUGUGGGAUCUGACGCUAUCUCCAGGUACAGUGUUGGAAUGGUGUUGGAGGACAGCCAGCUGGUGUGUGUGUGUGUGUAGGUGUCUCGGGGCUGGCGCUCACGCUGUGGGAUCUGACGCUAUCUCCAGGUACUGUGUUGGAAUGGUGUUGGAGGACACCCAGCUGGGGUGUGUGUGUGUGUGUGUGUGUGUGUAGGUGUCUCGGGGCUGAGCGCUCACGCUGUGGGAUCUGACGCUAUCUCCAGGUACAAUGUUGGAAUGGUGUUGGACACCCAGCUGGGGUGUGUGUGUGUGUGUAGGUGUCUCGGGGCUGAGUGCUCACGCUGUGGGAUCUGACGCUGUCUCCAGGUACAGUGUUGGAAUGGUAUUGGACACCCAGCUGGUGUGUGUGUCUGGUGUGUGUGUGUGUGUGUGUGUGUGUAGUUGUCUCGGGGCUGAGCGCUCACGCUGUGGGAUCUGACGCUGUCUCCAGGUACAGUGUUGGAAUGGUGUUGGACACCCAGCUGGGGGGUGUGUGUGUGUGUAGGUGUCUCGGGGCUGAGCGCUCACGCUGUGGGAUCUGACGCUGUCUCCAGGUACAGUGUUGGAAUGGUGUUGGACACCCAGCU
Molecule: long non-coding RNA, 726 nt
Filed under: Macaca fascicularis (crab-eating macaque)
Lineage: Eukaryota; Metazoa; Chordata; Mammalia; Primates; Cercopithecidae
Description: lncRNA (ENSMFAG00000064885.1)
Source: RNAcentral